CGAGUAGAGUGGCGGACGGUGAGUAACGCGGUAGGAUCCUACCGUAGAGGCGGGGACACCGGGAAACCCGGGCUAAUACCGCAUACGUCCUACGGGAGAAAGAGGGCCUCUGCUUGCACGCUCUCACUCCAGGAUGAGCCCACGUCCGAUUAGCUAGUUGGUAGGGUAAAGGCCUACCAAGGCCACGAUCGGUAGCUGGUCUGAGAGGAUGAUCAGCCACACUGGGACUGAGACACGGCCCAGACUCCUACGGGAGGCAGCAGUGGGAAUAUUGCGCAAUGGGCGAAAGCCUGACGCAGCCAUGCCGCGUGUGUGAAGAAGGCCCUUGGGUUGUAAAGCACUUUCAAUUGGGAAGAAAGGUUGCGUGUUAAUAGCACGUAGCUGUGACGUUACCUUUAGAAGAAGCACCGGCUAACUCCGUG
Molecule: ribosomal RNA, 422 nt
Filed under: uncultured bacterium
Lineage: Bacteria
Description: bacterial SSU rRNA
Rfam family: Bacterial small subunit ribosomal RNA
Source: RNAcentral